GGUUCGAUCAUGGUCGAUUGAACGCUGGCGGGAUGCUUUACAUGCAAGUCGAACGGCAGCACGGACUUCGGUCUGGUGGCGAGUGGCGAACGGGUGAGUAAUGUAUCGGAACGUGCCUAGUAGCGGGGGAUAACUACGCGAAAGCAGAAGCAUACCGCAUACGUUCCUUCGGGGGAAAGCGGGGACCUUCGGCCCUCGCACUAUUAGAGCGGCCGAUAUCGGAUUAGCUAGCUGGUGGGGUAACGGCUCACCAAGGCGACGAUCCGUAGCUGGUUUGAGGACGACCAGCCACACUGGGACUGAGACACGGCCCAGACUCCUACGGGAGGCAGCAGGGGAAUUUUGACAAUGGGGGAAACCCUGAUCCAGCCAUCCCGCGUGUGCGAUGGAAGGCCUUCGGGUUGUAAAGCACUUUGGCAGGAAAGAAACGGCACGGGAUAAUACCCCGUGCAACUGACGGUACUCGCAGAAUAAGCACUGGCUAACUACGUGCCAGCAGCCGCGGUAAUACGUAGGGUGCAAGCGUUAAUCGGAAUUACUGGGCGUAAAAGCGUGCGCAGGCGGUUCGGAAAGAAAGAUGAAAUCCCAGAGCUUAACUUUGGAACUGCAUUUUUAACUACCGAGCUAGAGUGUGUCAGAGGGAGGUGGAAUUCCGCGUGUAGCAGUGAAAUGCGUAGAUAUGCGGAGGAACACCGGAUGGCGAAGGCAGCCUCCGGGGAUAACACUGACGCUCGCGCACGAAAGCGUGGGGAGCAAACAGGAUUAGAUACCCUGGCAGUCCACGCCCUAAACGAUGUCAACUAGCUGUUGGGCCCGCCCGCAGCGCAGCUAACGCGUGAAGGACCGCCUGUGAGUACGGUCGCAAGAUUAAAACUCAAAGGAAUUGACGGGGAUCCGCACGCUGUGGAUGAUGUGGAUUAAUUCGAUGCAACGCGAAAACCUUACCUACCCUUGACAUGUUCAACCGAAGAGAUUUGGGUGCUCGCAAGAGAACCGGAACACAGGUGUUGAGCGGUUGUCAGUUGUCGUGGUCGUGAGAUGUUGGGUUAAGCCCCGCAACGAGCGCAACUUGUCAUUAGUUGCUACGAAAGGGCACUCUAAUGAGACUGCCGGUGACAAACCGAGGAAGGGAUGAGACGUCAAGUCCUCAUGGCCCUUAAGGGUAGGGCUUCACGACGUCAUACAAUGGCUGGGACAGGAGGCCGCCAACCCGCGAGGGGGAGCCAAUCCCAGAAACCCGAUCGUAGUCCGGAUCGCAGUCUGCAACUCGACUGUGUGAAGUCGGAAUCGCUAGUAAUCGCGGAUCAGCAUGUCGCGUGAAUACGUUCCCGGUCUUGUACACACCGCCCGUCACACAUGGGAGUGUCUUACCAGAAGUAGUUAGCCUAACCGUAAGGAGGGCGAUUACCACGGUAGGAUUCAUGACUGGGGUGAAGUCGUAACAAGGCAACCCCAGCCACACCAUGCUCCCA
RNAcentral lists this ribosomal RNA (1472 nucleotides) under uncultured Bordetella sp. Its description in RNAcentral is "partial 16S-23S ribosomal RNA intergenic spacer". It matches the Rfam family "Bacterial small subunit ribosomal RNA". The record is from RNAcentral. Lineage: Bacteria; Pseudomonadati; Pseudomonadota; Betaproteobacteria; Burkholderiales; Alcaligenaceae.